Molecule: long non-coding RNA, 3544 nt
Organism: Syzygium oleosum
Lineage: Eukaryota; Viridiplantae; Streptophyta; Magnoliopsida; Myrtales; Myrtaceae
Exons: 6
Source: RefSeq, a predicted model, not a curated record
AACAAGGAAAAAUGCUCUCCACUUUGUUCCAUUUAAGGUUAAUGGACUGUCGGAAGGCGUUAUUUGUGAUGAAAGCUUCUUGAGAUUCAAUGAAAUCGAGAGUGAAAGGUGGUCGAGAAUUUAACUCAUGGACAAUUGAAUAUAAGAAGCGGCACAUUUCAAAGAUGAGCUAUCCUUCACGAGGAAACACGUAGUGUAUAUAAUGUAACUGAUCUGGCUUUGCCAGCACUAGGUAAGAUACAUCUAUUAUCUGCAGUUGCGUCUCAUGUCAAAUCCUUGAUGGGUUAGCUCCCCUCCAGAGCCAAAGUUCCUGGUUUUUUAGUAUUUGUCUGCCAUAGCUCACCAAUGUGUGAUUGGUUGUCACUAGCUUUUUCCAUAUUGAUGUGAAUGGUGCGCUGGUGCUCCUGAUGAACCAUAGUACUAUAGAAUGUACAGAGUGACAAGUUUUGGAUCUAUAUGGCACUAGCGAGGAUGGGUGGCAUUCAAAUGUGACCACAUUCAGAUCGUGUCGUGCUUACUGACUAGGAGGAAAAUUUUGUUGAGGGUUGUCUUUCUAUCCUGAAGACAGUUGCUUAGAUUAGUCACUGUAUCGGUAGGUUUUAUUUGUUAUCACAUUCGUAUUGCAGUUGCUACCAACUAAAUGAAAGGGGAAAAGAGGUGAAAUUAGGGUUUCUGAGUUUCGUUUUGUUUCAUAUGAAUAAUUGACAGCAUGUGAUGAACAAGUGUGAAAUGUCGUAUCAGCUAUUAUCAAUUCAUUUUUAAGUAAGCUUCAUAGGCAUUUUGGUGGUAGUUCACGCAGUUUUGCUAAGGCAUGUUGAACCAUGACUGUGAUUGAACUUUCUUACAGAACUUCAUCACCUUUGAAACAUGCUUCAUUCAGGUCUAUUGUUUGAAAACAAUUUGCAGAAAUUUUGUGUUUUUUUUAAGAGCACUGAUGGCUGCGCGAGCCCUUCUAUUACCUCUUCUUGUUUUAUAAAUUAUCCAACAGUCUUAAAUUUUCUUUUUAUUUUCUCUGUGUGCAUAUUCAACUAUUAAAGAUUAGCUUUUGCCGCUUAGCUCGUUAUUAUCCUUUUGAUUUUGCUCCUCUUAUGAUUUUGUGGAUGUAACCUAUGUUCAGGUCAUGUUAAUCAGUCCAUGUUCUGGAAUAAUCUUGCUCCAAUUCAGGGAGGAGGUGGUGAGCCAACAAAAGGUUCCAUCGGUUGGGCCAUUGACAAUCAGUUUGGCUCUUUAGACGCACUUGUGCAGAAAAUGAAUGCAGAAGAUGCUGCUUUACAACUUCAAAACAAACGCUGCGAGUUGUGAGAAUCUAGUUGAGAUUCAGGGGACCUUUCGAGUUCGAAACAUCUAAGGCUAUCAUGCGUUGCAAACUGCAAGAGUCUAGUAAGUUUGGAUAUCUCUGUUUGCAUGUCCAUUCAAUCACUUGGCCUUUCAAGUUUAAAGAAUCUAAAAGAAUCAGAUGCUGCCAACGGCGACAAUUUAGUUGAAGUUUGAGGCUUUGACCCAUAUAGAAUAUCUGGAAACGUUCUGUAUCUCUGGAUGCGCAUCCAUUGAAAGAUUCCAUGUUGCAAAUUGCCGAAAUCUAGUUGAAAUUCAUGGUCUUUACAGGUUGGAUUUACUGGCAAGAUUGAAUAUCUCUGGGUGCUCUUCUGUUAAAAGAUUACUAGACUUUUCCAGUUUAAAGACUUCGAAUUUCACGCUGCAAAUUGGAAGAAUCUAGUUGAAGUUCGAGGCCUUGAUUGAUUAAUUAGAAUCUUUGGGUAGUUUUAAUGUCUUUAGAUGCAUGUCUAUUAAAAGAUAACCAGACCUUUCAAUCCAUUAAAAGAUAAACAGACCUUCCAAGUUAAAAAUGUCUAAAGGGAUUCUAUGCUGCAGACUGCCGGAAUCUAGUUGAAAUUCAUGGCCUUGAGAGGUUGAUUUUUAGUGAUAUUGGAUAUCUCUAAUUGCACAUCCAUCAAAAGAUAACCAAACCUUUCUAGUUUAAAGAAUUUGAGGGCUUUGAUAUUGCAAGCUGCAAAAGUCUAAUUGAAACGCGACCUUGACUGGCUGGAUUUUUUGGUAAUAUUGGAUAUCUGUGGUUGCAAUUCCCUUGGGAGAUUAUCGGAUCUAUCGUGAUUGAAAACCCUGAACAGGUUGAAAAUCAACCACUGUGAUUACAUUCAAAACCUAGAGAUAUUCUCAUCCUGCAAAAGUUUGUGUAUUCAAGGUUGCAAGUUGUUACCAAACUUCCCAGAUGUGUUGAAAUUUGAUGAUUUAAGGAAUUUGAUAGUGACAGCUUGUUCGGAGCUAUCAGACAUCCCAGGGCUCAAAGGAUUGAGCUACCUAUAAAGUAUAGAGAUUUGAUGAUGCUCGUCAAUUGUCACACAAAGACUGCGACCUCGAGGGCUUGGAGACUUGGAGCUUCCACAAGCUUACGACAUUUCCAGAUGCAAGUCGCUACAACCAAUAUCUGAAUUGUCUUGAGCUUUCCUCAUAUAGAAUAUGAGCAGUUUUUACGUCGGGAAGCUUCUGGAGGCAAAGUGCAAAAACACAUAGGCAAAGGAGAGUGAUCAUGCUGCUGGACUUGUGGCGCUCUGGAUCCCCAAAAUUCGUCGGGUUCUUUCAAGUUAAUCAUCAGGACUAGUAGUGUCACACAGAGAAAUGAAGCAUCACUUCCAGGUGGUGGCAGAGAUGUGGUGGUCCCAAUGGUUGGUGCCGGCAGUUACGGGGAUCCAACUGGACUGGAGGUCGGGGCGGUGGAAGUUUCACUGACGGUGACAGCUAAUUUUUGGCCCUGAGAGCAACGGUCACUGUUAGCAAAGGUGUAGAUGAAGUAAUACUCGCAGGCUUUGUUGAGGGAAAAGGUGGCUGGUCUGUUGAUUAGUGUAUGAACGUAGAAGCAGUGUUGCAGUUAUUGUUAUCACCAUUUGACAUGUUCACGAUGUCGUGUGACCCUGCGUUGAAGUAGAACACUGGAAAAAUAAUAGAAGAUUAUUGGCAUUAAAAGAGUGAAGCUCAAGAUUGAUUUUUUGGCCACUGAAGCUCAAGAUUGAUUGCACAUAAGAUGCCUGCAGAGGUUCCCUUAACAUUGCAUGCAUCACUGGUAGACAAUCUUCUGGGGUAUCAUUUGGUUUUUGAGCAAAUUGAUGAUGAGGAAGCUGAGACGGUUUUGAUGGGAAGGAUUUUGUCGUAGAAGUGCUUGAGUCGAGCUGCGUAGCUACUGUUUGAAGGAAAGCCUGGGCUGGUAGGGGUGAGAUUACCACAACCCCUCAAAAUGAGAAGAUGUGUUUGUUCUGGUUUCUCAAUUGGCACCAAGCAGAGAGAGUCCUAAGAACUGGCCCUUGGUCGAUUAGGGGAAAUUGGAUAAACCUGCAGAGAUGGGAUGCUCAGAGGAGACGGGAGAACCUCUGUUUUCACGAACUGGAGGUGUGACUGCAAAUACAUGGAUUGGCCUUUGACCAAAUGGAAGAGAACAAUGCGAAACCUAUUGCUCGUUGGGCGGGCAAACUGGUGAAAAAAGAAGUAUUUCACACCAAAUCUCGGGGUCGUCGUGGAUUCCUUUGUGCUA